UACAGAGGGUGCGAGCGUUAAUCGGAAUUACUGGGCGUAAAGGGCGCGUAGGUGGUUUAUUAAGAUUGAUGUGAAAUCCCUGGGCUUAACCUAGGAACGGCAUCGAAGACUGGUAAACUGGAGUAGUGUAGAGGGUAGUGGAAUUUCCGGUGUAGCGGUGAAAUGCGUAGAGAUCGGAAGGAACACCGGUGGCGAAGGCGGCUACCUGGACAACUACUGACACUGAGGCGCGAGAGCGUGGGGAGCAAACAGG
RNAcentral lists this ribosomal RNA (253 nucleotides) under uncultured bacterium. RNAcentral describes it as "partial 16S ribosomal RNA". It matches the Rfam family "Bacterial small subunit ribosomal RNA", at positions 524 to 776 of the family's 1533-position model. The record is from RNAcentral.